RNA transcript from Mus musculus (house mouse), 4203 nucleotides. It is a transcript of the gene named GTP binding protein 3, with no coding region annotated. NCBI's taxonomy places the organism in Eukaryota, Metazoa, Chordata, Mammalia, Rodentia, Muridae. The record is from RefSeq and is marked validated. The transcript is spliced from 8 exons.
UUUCCUUUUCUUCUUUCUUUCUCUCUUUCUUUCUUCCUUCCUUCCUCCCUUCCUUCCUUCCUUCCUUCCUUCCUUUCUUUCUUUUUUUGUACGCUUCCUUCUUGCCCGCCCACUUGGAUCUACCGUGCUUGUUCAGGCCGACACUGAGAAGAACUUUCUUCCACCCUCAGCCCUUCAGUCUGUUUACCCAUCUACAAAGUAUUGAGGUCAAAGGGGUGGAUUCUGAGCCGGGUGCGAGAGGGAGGACCUGGCUGAGUGACAUACCUGAGAACAAUACCUCAAGUACCCCAACUGGAAUGUAAGUAAUUAUAGCAGGUCCUGCCUGCCCCCAGGGCCUUUGCACAUACAGUUCAGGUUCUGAAAACAUAUUACUGCCCUCUGCUCCCACACAACCCUUAUUACUACAAUACAGCUUCCAUAAAAGGAUAAGGAUUCAGGUGCCAAAUUUAUCAAAUAAACACAAUCUUGAGGCACUCACUGCAUAUAAAGGUGUUGCCACAAGUUGUACACCAAUGCGGACAAGCGUCACCUCGCACACACAGAUAAAUGGAAUAAAAGAGUCCCGCUAAAGGGCACGACUGGUGUGACUCAAUCAGUAGAUCGCUGGCCCAGCACGGAGCUACCAGCCCUGCACUCAAGAGGCAGAAAGAUCGGGAUUUCAAAGGCAUCCUCAGAGGCCACAUAGCAAGUUCAUGAUCACCCCGGGCUUCCAAGACACUGUGUCAAAAAAGGGUGGGCCAAGCUGUUGAGAUGUCCCCGCGGUUAAUAACACUUGUAGCUCUUCUCGAGGACCAGGGUUCGGUUCCUGCACCUACACUUGCCAGUAACUCCAGAGCCAGGGGAUGCUAAAUAUGCCCGACACCAAAGCUUACACAUCGUUAAAUAACAAAUAGGCCUCAAAAAAUAAAGCCACUGAUUAAAUGAAUUUCAGAUAUACUGGUAUGUUCUGACAACUACACAAAGAAAUGUUGUUUGUCUGAAACUUUUAUGUUCUGGGUGAUCCUAGGUGGGAAGGGAGGCUGUCAAAAGUCCAGCUUGCUGGGAAAUGCUCAACCACAAAGCUAAGCCUGAUACCAGAUUUUUAAAGAAUGUUUGUUUGUUGUGGGCAGGAGCGCUUUGGCGAGUGUAUGGAGGUGAGAGGACGGACACCUGUGGAAACUGAUUCUUUCCACCAUGUGGGUCCAGGGGAUUGAACUCAGGUCGUCAGACUUAGAAGCAAGCACCAAAACCCACAGCCCUGAUCUCCCAUGUUUUCCCACUUCAGAGUGGCCCACCCUGAAGUCCUGUGAGCACUUAGUAGGUAAUGAGCACUUGCUCUAAACGUGUUAAGAUGGAACCACGGGGGCCGGGCACUGGUGGCGCACGCUUUUAAUCCCAGCACUUGGGAGGCAGAGGCAGGCGGAUUUCUGAGUUCCAGGCCAGCCUGGUCUACAGAGUGAGUUCCAGGACAGCCAGGGCUACACAGAGAAACCCUGUCUCGAAAAAAACAAAACAAAAACAAACACACAAACAAACAAAAAAGAUGGGACCACAGGAGAUGGACAACGUCACUGUCCCUGUUUCACAGACUGAAAGUAGGGCAGAUGGGAACCUGAGGGCUUUGAGACUAUACUGUACCCGGCAGCACUAACUAAAGAGCGCCCGCCCGCACAAGUCGAGAACCAGAGAAUUGGCAGUGCGAGGGCGCUCGCGAAGCCCCGCCCGCCCAGAACCUGGUAUUCGAGCCUGCUCCUUCACCCCGCAGUUCAGUGCUGUCCCGGGUUAACCCGAAGUUAACUGGAGGCCCCAGGAUGCCUAUCCCGGAACACACAUCGGACCUGCGGCCAACCGGGACCCCGAAGAGGGCGGGGAAGCCAGGGCUGGAGCUGGGCUGGAACCGCCAGAAAGGCUUCCUUGCCUGGGGAUGGCGCCUGGCUAAAGAUACUUGCCCAGGAGCUGCAGCUGGCAAAGAUGGGGUAGCGGGGAUCAGUGAAGAGACACAAGAAGGGCCAGGAAGAAACUUCCCAGAAGUUUGGACCAGAUUUUCCCUGACCUAGGGCGUGGCUUCUCCCGGAACUCAUCCCCUGCAGUCACUAAGAUGCUUUGAGUUUUCUGUCUCUAACUGGGUGUAGAAUACCCCGACCCCACCUCCCUCGUGAUGGUGAAAGGACAACUUGCACAAGUCUGGUCUCCUUCACUAAGCUGAUCCCGGGGAUAGAACUCAGAUUGUCAAGUUUGGCAGCAAGUGCCUUCUGCGCUGCCUUUCAUGGACUUUACAGUCGGAGCGCACACAUAGCUUCUUAGCUUCUCUAAGACUACGGAAUGGGCACAAGGAAAAGAAGGGCUCGAACCACCGCUGAGAUAUAUCCUGCAUUUUCUUCCUCCCACUAUUGUGUCAGAUACCUGUUGCUCUAGGAACCGAAAACUUUGCUCUGUGUUUCCGCGGGACACUCUUGCGUUGUACACACCCGCAUCCCAACUUCGUUUCCCUUGGAUCAGCCAAUAGGAAUCAAAAUCUAUAGAUAGAGGGCGGGACCUCCUAUAGGCGAUCCAAUGGUAGUUGAGAGUCGUACCGCUAAGUCACACCGCAAAGGGGCAGGACUUUCUUCCCGAACUUGAAGCCCUGCGGGAGUGUCGGCCAAGGUGCUUGCAAAAUUGGAAAUCCAUGUGGCGUGGGCUGAGCGCCCUGGUGACCCAGGCGGCGUGGGCGCCCCUCAGGCUGUGCGCACGCUGCAGCACCAGUGCAGAGUCCUUAGUCCCCAGCAGCACCAUCUUCGCACUCAGCUCCGGCCAGGGACGCUGCGCCAUCGCAGUGAUCCGCACCAGCGGUCCAGCUAGCGGGCUCGCGCUCCGCAGCCUCACGGCGCUCCAGGAGCCGCCUCCUGCCCGCAGAGCCUGCCUGCGCCUUCUCCGCCACCCGUGCUCCGGGGAGCCACUGGACCGCUCACUCGUCCUCUGGUUCCCAGGACCCCAGAGUUUCACGGGUGAGGAUUGCGUGGAGUUUCACGUACACGGAGGUCCUGCGGUGGUCAGCGGUGUCUUGCAGGCAUUGGGUAGUGUGCCAGGACUGCGGCCAGCCGAGGCCGGAGAGUUCACCAGGAGGGCAUUUGCCCAUGGCAAGCUGAGCCUGACUGAAGUGGAGGGACUGGCAGAUCUUAUCCGUGCAGAAACUGAGGCCCAGCGUCGACAGGCUCUGAGGCAGCUGGAUGGGGAACUGAGCCAGCUCUGCCAGGGCUGGGCAAAGACUCUCACCAAGGCUCUGGCCUAUGUGGAGGCCUACAUUGACUUCGGAGAGGAUGAUAAUUUGGAAGAGGGUGUGUUGGAGCAGGCGGACAGAGAAGUUCGAGCCCUGGAGGUGGCGCUGGGUUCCCACCUGCGAGAUGCUAGGCGUGGACAAAGGCUCCUCUCGGGGGCAAAUGUUGUGGUCACUGGACCUCCCAAUGCGGGCAAGAGCAGUCUGGUGAAUCUACUCAGUAUGUGGGGUUCAGGAAAGGAUGGGAUGGGCUUCUUCUGGGCAGGGGUGCAGCAUCCUAGGGUUGCUGGACGCCUCCUCCAGCUGCAGCUUCCUGGACACUGUGGUGGCCCCACUGGUAGCUCAAAGCUACGAGAGUGGCAGACAGCGCCUCCUGAAAGUGAGGGCUUUUACCUCCACUCCGUGGUUCUUAAUCACAUUGUCCCUGACAUUCAGGCCAAAAGCCAGUGUCCAUCGUGUCCCCAGAGCCUGGGACCACCCGUGACGUGCUGGAGACUCCCGUGGACUUGGCUGGGUUCCCUGUCUUGCUGAGCGACACUGCAGGGCUCCGGGAAGGCGUGGGCGCUGUUGAGCAGGAGGGUGUGCGCAGGGCCCGCCACAGCUGAGCUGCUCCUCUGAGCAGCACCAACAGUGCCUUCCCAGGAUCCUCCAUGGUUAUGCUUCAUGGUCCUUCCUCCCCAGGCUGGAGCAGGCUGACAUCAUUCUGGGGGUGCUGGACGCCUCCGACCUGGCCUCCUCAUCCAGCUGCAGCUUCCUGGACACUGUAGUGACCCCACUGCUAGCACAAAGCCAAGACAGCGGUGGGCAGCGCCUCCUGCUGCUGCUCAACAAAUCUGAUCUGCUGUCUGCUAAUGCCCCAGCCUGCGACAUAGCCCUGCCUCCUCACCUGCUCCUGUCCUGCCACACGGGAGCCGGGAUGGACAGCCUCCUGCAGGCCCUGAAGACCGAGCUGGCUGCGGUGUGUGGGGACC